Long non-coding RNA from Sardina pilchardus (European sardine), 1519 nucleotides. RefSeq lists it as uncharacterized. The record is from RefSeq and is a predicted model, not a curated record. Lineage: Eukaryota; Metazoa; Chordata; Actinopteri; Clupeiformes; Clupeidae. The transcript has 4 exons.
AAUGAAGAAAUAUUGGCUUCUGGCACUUUUGGAUCGCCUCACCUCUCCGAGACCGCAGCUCAAGACAAUGAAGUAAUGUUGGCUGCUGGAACUUGUGGAUCGCCUCACCUCUCUGAGACCGCAGCUCAAGAUGACCUGUGGAACUCUGUCUGUGUGACUUCUAGUUCACCUCAUCUCCCUGACUCAGUCACUCAAGGUUUCCGUGUUUCAUCAAGACGGUGUGUGAAGAGACCAUGGUCCAAGGAGGAGAUACAAGCUGUGAUGAAACAUAUGAGGCCUUUUAUUGAAAACGGUGUCACUCACCAGUGAGCAGUGCCUGAAGUGCAAGGAAAAGGAACACCCUGUGUUGGAGACAAGAUCCAUUCAAAACAUUCGAUAUUUUGUACGCAACAGAGGCUUGACUUUUAAAAGGCAUUCAAAGGCUAAACACUAAAUGCACUUUUGGCUAGCCUGAGACUUGGGUCUAAUAUUUUAUAAGUUUAUGUCUUGUUCUCAGAAAUUUAGGUCACUUAAUUUAUAUUGCUCCCAGGCAGAUGUUUGUUUGUUUGUUUGUUUUGCUUUGUGGUUAGCCUGGACCUUUUAAUGUAAGGAUUCAUUUUAUUUUGCUUUAUUUAUUUCUACAAUGCUGUCCUUUGCUAAGGAACAGAAUCUUGAGGUGACCAAAUACAGUUCAGUGAUACAGCAAAUAUUGUGUGGUGUGUUAAUAAUGACAAACCUACAAAAAAAGGCUCUCUUCUCAGGUUAUGUGUGAUUCUGUGCAAUGGGCAAUGGCAGACUCUGGACACGCCAGUUGCAGUGGGGAUGUGAAGCAUGAUUGCAGGUUGGCAGUUGGUUCAGGACAUGGAAACCUCCAUAAUACUAGUGAGGAAGGAUACAAAGAUAAGUGCUGGUGGGGUUGUGUAGCUUGACCGUAUUUGAUUGGAGGUGCUGAUGUUUUCUAGAUGAAGAAGUGUAGAAUGGCGUGAUUGUGCACCUUAUGUACAUUAUCUGCAAAUUAUAUCCCGAUGUGAUGAGUUAUUUACACUUACUGUAGUUCAGCUUAUGUGCCAAAUUGUAAUGUACAACUGUAGGUCAACAAAGAAAACAAAAUUACCUCUUAAUAUAUAUUCAAUAUUAUUAUAAUGGUGUGCCUUAGUCACUUUGGCCUAGUAAUCCAUGUGUCCUCUCAAAGCAGGUUAUACUCGGUGUAUGUGUGUGACCUGGCCUUACAGACCUUGUGUCCUUUCAAAGCAGGUUAUACUCAGUGUAUGUGUAUGAUGACAUCACUGACCUUGUACACCACACUGUCCUUAUAGACCCUGUUUUAGAAAAGUCUUUACAAACCACUAAAAAGUCUGAAAAACGGCUUUUUUUUAUAUCUCAGGUUUGGCAAGGAAAUCUUUUAAUUUUAAACGUUGUAUAGGUUCCCUGAUUUUUUUCAUGACGUUUGAUAUGUGUUUUGUAGCUCUAGCACCACGGGAACCCUGUGUCCCUGUAUCCCUGUGUUAAGUCUGAUUUACGAAAAUUUUCGUAAAUUGUC